UACUGCGGAGACAUUACUGAAGAAUGGCAAAGGUUGAGCUGGCUCCUAGGAGUAUGUGCUUGCCUCUGUCGCUUUUUCUACUUUCCACUGUGCACCUUAUGUAGGCUUUGCGCGAACGGUUGACUUCAACCGAUUGUUAAAAGCCUAUGUCUUAUAUACACCAUUGAAAAGUCUUUGAAUGUGUCUCUAUUGUUGGUCUUUGAACCGAUAAUAAACUUGUACAACUUUCAGCAACGGAUCUCUUGGCUCUCGCAUCGAUGAAGAACGCAGCGAAAUGCGAUAAGUAAUGUGAAUUGCAGAAUUCAGUGAAUCAUCGAAUCUUUGAACGCACCUUGCACCCUUUGGUAUUCCGAAGGGUAUGCCUGUUUGAGUGUCAUUAAAUUCUCAAAGGCCCAGUUGGUUUUAACAAUCAAUCGGGACUUUGGACUGUGAGGGUUGCCGGUUCUUAACUGGAUCGGACUCCCUUUAAACACAUUAGUGGUUAUCGAUCCGCUUCCACUUGGUUGUGAUAGUCUAUCUACGCCUUUGGAGCUGGUCAGCUUGUUAUCCGCUUCUAACCUGCCAUUCAAUGGACAACUCUUUGACAAUUUGACCUCAAAUCAGGUAGGACUACCCGCUGAACUUAAGCAUAUCAAA
This 636-nucleotide ribosomal RNA is filed under the name Porotheleum fimbriatum. RNAcentral describes it as "eukaryotic LSU rRNA". The stretch from base 223 to 376 matches the Rfam family "5.8S ribosomal RNA". Lineage: Eukaryota; Fungi; Basidiomycota; Agaricomycetes; Agaricales; Porotheleaceae. The record is from RNAcentral.